GCCUGGUUUAUUAUAGUUUUAACUUUUAAAACAAUUUCAAUUAUUGUAUUUAUAUAUCUUUUUUAAAUUCAUACUCCGACAAUUCCUACUGGAAUCACGCCCAGUCUAUCCCCGAAGAGAUCAUUGGGGGAAGAAAGACGCCAGCUAUGACUCCGCAGAAAAACAGGCAGCAAGCAACAGAAGAUUCCUCCAAGUACUAUACAAACAUAGAAGACCCAAUACAACAAGAAGAGGAGGAAGAGGACGAUGAUGAUAUACUGAGUAAAAUAUCUAAGCAGGUUGAUACAUUCAAUGAAGAAGAUGAUGUGUUGAGCUAUGAUGAGGAUGAUGUAUGAUGCGGCUAACUACCUUGAUACAAUCAAUUCUGAGGUAGAGCCUAUACUGAUUGAAUAUAGUGUCAGUGAGGACAAGGAUCAGGAUACAGAUCUUCAAGAUAGGUUUCUCACAGCCUUUUACAGGACUCUAAAAGCCAGAGUGUUCCAGCUACACAAACUUAUGAUUGUUUUGCUAAGACGUCAGUACAGCCAAGACAUAGCCUUAUGGAAGUCAACCAUGCCAAGCAGCAUUCUGAUAAAAAAAAAAAACGCCCAAACAAAUGAUAAAGCCGUAUGUAACAUGGAUACUUUAAGAAUACCCCCAGAACUUCUCCUUAAUUAACCAAAUUAAUGAGCUAACCUCUCCUUCAACACCACCCCCCACAACAACACCCACCUCCUCUUUUAAAUCAUGCAAAUGAUGACACAUCACAGAUAUCACCAGAACCUUUCUCCUUAAUAAACCAAAUUAACGAGAGAGGCCCAACCCCCCCACAAACACUCACCCUCCUAUAACCCCUGCACAUGAUGACACAUUAUCACAGGUACCCCAAGAACUUAGAUUCUUAAUUAACCAAUGAAUAAGCUAACCCCUCUUUCAACAACACCCCCACACAUCAAAACCUACCUCAAACAACCCCUGCAGGCUAUGAAGACAAUGAGCAACCAUAUUAUGAUUUUGAUGAAUUGGAAAAUUGUGUAAUAAAUCAGAUGGGAGAUGGUAUUGAUAUAAGUGAGUGUGUUUUGUACCGC
Molecule: long non-coding RNA, 1067 nt
Filed under: Salmo salar (Atlantic salmon)
Lineage: Eukaryota; Metazoa; Chordata; Actinopteri; Salmoniformes; Salmonidae
Description: lncRNA (ENSSSAG00000114349.1)
Source: RNAcentral